CCUACGGGUGGCAGCAGUGAGGAAUAUUGGUCAAUGGGCGCAAGCCUGAACCAGCCAAGCCGCGUGAGGGAAGACGGUCCUAUGGAUUGUAAACUUCUUUUGUAGGGGAGUAAAAGACGCCACGUGUGGCGUUUUGAGAGUACCCGACGAAUAAGGAUCGGCUAACUCCGUGCCAGCAGCCGCGGUAAUACGGAGGAUGCGAGCGUUAUCCGGAUUUAUUGGGUUUAAAGGGUGCGUAGGAGGGAUGAUAAGUCAGCGGUGAAAUGUGGGGGCUCAACCCCGAUAAUGCCUUUGAAACUGGUUGACUAGAGUGUGCGAGAGGUAGGCGGAAUGCGUGGUGUAGCGGUGAAAUGCAUAGAUAUCACGCAGAACACCGAUUGCGAAGGCAGCUUACCGGCGCACAACUGACGCUGAGGCACGAAAGUGUGGGUAGCAAACAGGAUUAGAUACCCUAGUAGUC
Molecule: ribosomal RNA, 460 nt
Filed under: uncultured bacterium
Lineage: Bacteria
Description: partial 16S ribosomal RNA
Rfam family: Bacterial small subunit ribosomal RNA
Source: RNAcentral